This 605-nucleotide long non-coding RNA is filed under the name Homo sapiens (human). RNAcentral's name for it is "HSALNT0398613". The record is from RNAcentral. Lineage: Eukaryota; Metazoa; Chordata; Mammalia; Primates; Hominidae.
UGGUGACCGGGGGUGACCGGGGGUGACCGGGGAUGGCCGGGAAGAUGAAAGAGCACUGAAACUGUCCCAUUUCCUGGCACCUCAACCCUUCAUAAAUACGGGUCCAUAUACAGAGGCUCCAGUUUACACAAGACAAAAAUGGCGUGGAGAAUCCACAGAUUUAAGGGUUCAAUCCUACAAGACUGCCUCCUCUUGAGUUCCUCUGCCCGGCCGCCCCACUGUCUGGGAAGUGAGAAGCGCCUCUGCCUAGCCGCCCACCAUCUGGGAAGUGAGGAGCACCUCUGCCCGGCCGCCCCACACCACCGCCGCCAUCUGGGAAGUGAGGAGUGCCUCUGCCUGGCCCCCGCAACGUCUGGGAAGUGAGGAGCGCCUUUGCGCGGCUGCUGUGCGACCCUCCAAGUGUGAAGUGACAGCCUUGUGUGUGAUCUUUCUGCCCUCCCCAAGUUUGCAUUUUCGACAUUAAAGUUUACUUUUCAAUUAAAAUUUUUAAAUUGGAGAAUAUAUAAUUUAAAAAAAAAAAAAAAAGACUGCCUCCUCUUAAGAUGCCAGUCACAAGUCCUGGGCUACCAGUAUUUCUGACUAACUGGCUAUAAAUUAGAGGCUCC